AUGUUGUAUGAAUGGAGAGGAGGUUAGCAUACCCCUUGCUAACAGAACAGAAGAGGCACUUGGGCCUACAACACAUAUACAGUUAAAAAAACAAGUUAUUUCUUGACUUAAGACACUUGACAUAUGU
Molecule: small nuclear RNA, 127 nt
Organism: Phodopus roborovskii (desert hamster)
Lineage: Eukaryota; Metazoa; Chordata; Mammalia; Rodentia; Cricetidae
Source: RefSeq, a predicted model, not a curated record